RNAcentral lists this transfer RNA (78 nucleotides) under Salmonella enterica. RNAcentral describes it as "tRNA-Met". It matches the Rfam family "tRNA". From Rfam's summary of the family: Transfer RNA (tRNA) molecules are approximately 80 nucleotides in length. RNAcentral also lists the same sequence under 1 other name. The record is from RNAcentral. Lineage: Bacteria; Pseudomonadati; Pseudomonadota; Gammaproteobacteria; Enterobacterales; Enterobacteriaceae.
CGCGGGUUAAAUCUCUGGCAGAGAUUGCAGGUCUCAUAAGCCUGAAAGAGGUCGGUUCGAUUCCGGCACCCGCUACCA